This 220-nucleotide ribosomal RNA is filed under the name uncultured Glomus. RNAcentral's name for it is "partial small subunit ribosomal RNA". It matches the Rfam family "Eukaryotic small subunit ribosomal RNA", at positions 591 to 817 of the family's 1831-position model. Lineage: Eukaryota; Fungi; Glomeromycota; Glomeromycetes; Glomerales; Glomeraceae. The record is from RNAcentral.
CCAAUAGCGUAUAUUAAAGUUGCUGCAGUUAAAAAGCUCGUAGUUGAAUUUCGGGACCGAUAUAUCGGUCGUGCCUCGGUACGUACUGGUAUCUUCGGUUUCUCCCUUCUGACGAACCUUGAUGUCAUUAAUUUGGUGUCUUGGGGAAUCAGGACUGUUACUUUGAAAAAAUUAGAGUGUUUAAAGCAGGCUCACGCUUGAAUACAUUAGCAUGGAAUAA